UACGUAGGGAGCAAGCGUUGUCCGGAAUCAUUGGGCGUAAAGCGCGCGUAGGUGGCCACAUAAGUCCGUUGUGAAAGUCAAAGGCUCAACCUUUGAAAGCCGAUGGAUACUGUGUGGCUAGAGUACGGAAGAGGCGAGUGGAAUUCCUGGUGUAGCGGUGAAAUGCGCAGAUAUCAGGAGGAACACCGGUGGCGAAGGCGGGUCUCUGGGCCGAUACUGACGCUGAGGAGCGAAAGCGUGGGGAGCAAACAGG
RNAcentral lists this ribosomal RNA (253 nucleotides) under uncultured bacterium. RNAcentral's name for it is "partial 16S ribosomal RNA". It matches the Rfam family "Bacterial small subunit ribosomal RNA", at positions 524 to 776 of the family's 1533-position model. The record is from RNAcentral.